GGACUACAGGGGUAUCUAAUCCCGUUUGCUCCCCUAGCUUUCGCGCAUCAGCGUCAGAAGAGAUCCAGCCCGCCGCUUUCGCCACCGGCGUUCCUUCCGAUAUCAACGCAUUUCACCGCUCCACCGGAAGUUCCACGGGCCCCUACCUCCCUCUAGACAGCCAGUAUCCACGGCCAUUUUCCGGUUAAGCCGAAAGAUUUCACCACAGACUUGGCUGCCCGCCUACGCGCCCUUUAAGCCCAGUGAUUCCGAACAACGUUUGCACGGUUCGUCUUACCGCGGCUGCUGGCAC
RNAcentral lists this ribosomal RNA (292 nucleotides) under uncultured Planctomycetota bacterium. RNAcentral describes it as "uncultured planctomycete partial 16S ribosomal RNA". The record is from RNAcentral. Lineage: Bacteria; Pseudomonadati; Planctomycetota.